AACGCACGAGACCUGCGGACCUGCGGAGGGAUCAUUACCGAGUUCAUGCCCUCACGGGUAGAUCUCCCACCCUUGUGUAUUCUAUGUUUGUGUUGCUUUGGCAGGCCGUGGGCCUCGCCCACCACCGGCUCUCGGGCUGGUGUGCGCCUGCCAGAGGACUCUUUAAACUCUGUUUGUUAGUGUCGUCUGAGUAUGAUAACAAUCGUUAAAACUUUCAACAACGGAUCUCUAGAUCGGAAG
RNAcentral lists this unclassified non-coding RNA (240 nucleotides) under soil metagenome. RNAcentral's name for it is "partial contains 5.8S ribosomal RNA, internal transcribed spacer 2, and large subunit ribosomal RNA". The record is from RNAcentral.